CCAAGUGGUUCAUCAAGAAGGCCAGCGACUACGCCAAGGAGCGUACGGUGUUCGGCCGUCCCAUUGGCCAGAAUCAGGGCAUCCAGUUUCCGAUCGCGAAAUCCUACGCCAACAUGCGCGCCGCCGAACUGAUGGUGAAGGAAGCUACCCGGCUUUAUGAAGCCGGCAAGGACUGCGGCGCGGAGGCCAACAUGGCCAAGAUGCUCGCUGCCGAUGCGUCGUUCGAGGCGGCAAAUGCCUGCAUCCAGACCCACGGCGGCUUCG
This 264-nucleotide unclassified non-coding RNA is filed under the name Hevea brasiliensis (rubber tree). Lineage: Eukaryota; Viridiplantae; Streptophyta; Magnoliopsida; Malpighiales; Euphorbiaceae. The record is from RNAcentral.